UGGUGACCAGCGCACGGGUGAGUAACACGUAUCCAACCUGCCGAUGACUCGGGGAUAGCCUUUCGAAAGAAAGAUUAAUACCCGAUGGCAUAGUUCUUCCGCAUGGUAGAACUAUUAAAGAAUUUCGGUCAUCGAUGGGGAUGCGUUCCAUUAGCUUGUUGGCGGGGUAACGGCCCACCAAGGCAUCGAUGGAUAGGGGUUCUGAGAGGAAGGUCCCCCACAUUGGAACUGAGACACGGUCCAAACUCCUACGGAAGGCAGCAG
RNAcentral lists this ribosomal RNA (264 nucleotides) under uncultured bacterium. RNAcentral describes it as "partial 16S ribosomal RNA". It matches the Rfam family "Bacterial small subunit ribosomal RNA", at positions 89 to 354 of the family's 1533-position model. The record is from RNAcentral.